UAAUUUCCAUCUGUAGUCCCAUUAACAUAAAAACAAAUUAAGACAGUACAACAUUUCACAGUAAGAAAAAAGGAGCAGUAGCAAUAAAACAAGCACUAACAGUGAAAAACACAUUGAAAAACACAAACCAUAAUAUACAGACAGACAGAUAAAUUGCAAUACAGAUUGACUGUGGGUGGAGAGCUAGCCCACAGGUAGGGAGACCAUAAGAGUUUCGUUUUGAAGAGUAAAGUGCAUAGGUGCUGGGUAAAGUGUCAAGUGCUAAAGUGCAUGAGUGCCAGAUGAAAUUGCACAAUGCCCUAAGGUGCCAGAUGAAAUUGCACAAAGCCCUAAAGUGCACAUCAGUUUAAAGUGCCAGUUUGUAUUGCACGAGGCCCAGUACACUCAGUUGCACAUGCAGAAGCGUGUAAUUAUUGCACUAAAUGUGAUACAUAAAUGUAUUAUGUAAACACUACUGAUGAGAAAAAAUCAUACACAAAAGUAUUGUGUAAUUUUUGUAUACAUGUAACGGAAAAAGAAAGAAACUCUGAUGAUGACCCAACAAUUGCAUUGCAUUACAGGUUACAGGUGGUCGCAUGUUUGAUUUUCUAGUAACCAUGC
Epinephelus lanceolatus (giant grouper) is the source of this 600-nucleotide non-coding RNA. The record is from RefSeq and is a predicted model, not a curated record. Lineage: Eukaryota; Metazoa; Chordata; Actinopteri; Perciformes; Serranidae.